Molecule: ribosomal RNA, 717 nt
Filed under: Triticum aestivum (bread wheat)
Lineage: Eukaryota; Viridiplantae; Streptophyta; Magnoliopsida; Poales; Poaceae
Description: partial small subunit ribosomal RNA
Source: RNAcentral
AUGGCGGCGGAGUCGUUGGUACGAUGUAGUCGUCGGCGAUGGCCGGAGCCGGAGCCGAAGGCCCAUCAUGGUUUGCAGUGGUGGUCGGAGCCGAGGGUCCAGCCUGGUGCACCGUUGGUGCUCGCCCACGGAGCGGGCGGUUGCCUUGGCGUGCGUACCCACGGCAGCGGUUCUGGCGGUGGUUCCAGGCGAAAAAGCGGCGGCGAGGGCCACUCCUUGCACCAAGUCCCCGACGGCGACGGCGACUUGCAGCACGGUGGCGAUGGGUGCAUGGAAAGCGACGAUUCUUUCUCUGGAGGAAGCGUGCAAUGGCGAAAGCAAGCGACGGCAGGACAACUUGGAACAACUUGUGUGUCCCUCUCAGAUUCCUACAGAAGAAAGGAUGCAUUUUCUUUUCUAUUGGAUGGACAACAACAUAACCACAACAAUAGGUCUAUCAGAAGAAGCAGGAGCGAAGCAAAGGCAGGAUUCCAUGAUGAGUUUGGAGUUUACCCUCUGUUCUUGGAAAUUGAAAUUGUCUCUCAUGCGAGCGGCGACCUUUUCUUAGCCAUGUGGCAUGCCGCUCCAAGCCACUCCGCUUUCCAUCAAUGCCGACAACCACAGCAGGGGUGGAUCCAGCCGACAAGAGGCAGAGCGGCGGUCAAUGGUGGUGGCCUGCUCCCAAGCUGCAGUGCUUUGGAGAAGAUGAACAUGAGGCCCCAACCUGCACUGGCAUAG